GAUGAACGCUAGCGGGAGGCCUAACACAUGCAAGCCGAGCGGUAGAGUUUCUUCGGAAACUUGAGAGCGGCGCACGGGUGCGUAACACGUGUGCAACCUACCUUUAUCUGGGGGAUAGCCUUUCGAAAGGAAGAUUAAUACCCCAUAAUAUAAUGAUUGGCAUCAAUUAUUAUUGAAAACUCCGGUGGAUAGAGAUGGGCACGCGCAAGAUUAGAUAGUUGGUGAGGUAACGGCUCACCAAGUCAAUGAUCUUUAGGGGUCCUGAGAGGGAGAUCCCCCACACUGGUACUGAGACACGGACCAGACUCCUACGGGAGGCAGCAGUGAGGAAUAGUGGACAAUGGGUGAGAGCCUGAUCCAGCCAUCCCGCGUGAAGGAUGACGGUCCUAUGGAUUGUAAACUUCUUUUGUACAGGGAUAAACCUACCCUCGGGAGGGUAGCUGAAGGUACUGUACGAAUAAGCACCGGCUAACUCCGUG
RNAcentral lists this ribosomal RNA (479 nucleotides) under uncultured bacterium. Its description in RNAcentral is "partial 16S ribosomal RNA". It matches the Rfam family "Bacterial small subunit ribosomal RNA", at positions 28 to 507 of the family's 1533-position model. The record is from RNAcentral.